Molecule: ribosomal RNA, 519 nt
Filed under: uncultured bacterium
Lineage: Bacteria
Description: bacterial SSU rRNA
Rfam family: Bacterial small subunit ribosomal RNA
Source: RNAcentral
AGUUUGAUUAUGGCUCAGGAUGAACGCUAGCUACAGGCUUAACACAUGCAAGUCGAGGGGCAGCAUGAGAUUAGCUUGCUAAUCUUGAUGGCGACCGGCGCACGGGUGAGUAACGCGUAUCCAACCUUCCCCCUACUCAGGCAUAGCCCGGUGAAAACCGGAUUAACUCCUGAUAGUGUCACUAGAUGGCAUCUGACGGUGAAUAAAGCUCAGCGGUAAGGGAUGGGGAUGCGUCUGAUUAGCUUGUUGGCGGGGUAACGGCCCACCAAGGCGACGAUCAGUAGGGGUUCUGAGAGGAAGGUCCCCCACAUUGGAACUGAGACACGGUCCAAACUCCUACGGGAGGCAGCAGUGAGGAAUAUUGGUCAAUGGGCGCGAGCCUGAACCAGCCAAGUAGCCGUGCAGGAAGACGGCCCUAUGGGUUGUAAACUGCUUUUGUGCGGGAAUAAAGUCAGGGACGUGUCCCUGUUUGCAUGUACCGCAAGAAUAAGGACCGGCUAAUUCCGUGCCAGCCGCGGC